AGUUUUAUUUUUACUCAGAUGAUACCCAAUAGAUCAACUUAAACUUUGAUGCAUUUUUAGCAUAACAGAAGCAUGUUGGUCUCUCAGUUGGCAUCAGAAAGAAAACAUUCUGUCAGGGGUUUUAUUUAACCCAGUUAGGCUCCAUACACAGCCUUUGCCUGGGGUGUAUUUGCUCUACCUCUGAUGUUCUGCUACCAGAAAAGAUUGUAUGCAGAAAGAGUACAUAUUUCUUUGGAGUAGACGUUCACUUAUAGACUUUAGAUAUGUCAGAAGGUUAGUGUAGAGACAUUCCUAUCCUUUGUACUUUUUUUUUUUUUUUUCCGGAUAGUAACAUACACAACUAAAUCAUUGCAAAAAUGCUUAGCAAACAUAAAAAACUAAUUUCAUCAUUUCUUGUGUUCUUGUUUUGAAUUUUUUUCUUCAAUAGAACUCAUAAAGUAAAAUCUCACCAAGAUCAUUGCAUAUAAAUAAGUGCAAACUAACAAAAAGGAAAUUAUUUGCAUGAAUGUCCUGUUAAUGCAAACCAAUUUCUCACAAUUCUAAAUUUGCAUUCUGCAAUGUGUUUUGUAUUUCUUAUCAGAUUUACAUGUUCCCAUGUGGGUAUGUAUAUUUUGUACAUAUUUCAUGCAUAUCCAUAACAGAAAAUGGUUUGGAGUUUUAACUAACAAAUAAGACAGAGGCAAAGAUUACUUUUUUCCCCUCAGAAUUUUACUCCAGGAUUUCUGGCUUUUCCUCACUUCUGUGUAGACCACAGUAAACAUUUGGAAGGCAUUUUGUGUGGCAAGUUUGUGCCUUGCAGUUUUUGAGCAACGCAAACUUCCCGUUAAAUAAAUGAAAACAGACCUUAGAAGGGGUGUGCUUCCAACACAUUCCCCUAAGAUCUGAGCACCGCUGUGCAUUCUUGCUCAAUUUAAACAAACUAAACUUCAGUUAGUCUCCCUCCCCUAAUGGGCACCCCCACUGGGAACAUUGUUAGGUUACCACCAUGGACAAGGCUUCAGUACAGCUGGAUAUGUAAACAAGACCAUAAUCCGCAUGAAAGGACUCUCAGAGUUUUGGCAGCGCUCUCUCGAUGUUGUUAACAUAUUGUGCCAAAGCAAUAACAAAGCCAUCAUUUUUAAGUUUGUUCACGGAUUUGUAUUAAUCAAGAAAUUUUCCAGAAAUUACUUCUAAAUGAGGAAACUUCCAGAAAGUUACCAUUUGGCAAGAAGGUUUCCAGAUGCUUCAUUCCCUCCGCCUCCGCCCCACCCCCAACCUUUUCUUUUCCCCUAUCUUCCACAUAUUCUUUCAAAUAAAUCACAAGUUUGUGGAAGUUCUGUUGAAACAGAAAACACAUUGCUGCUGUGUUGGCAAAGGGAGGCUCACUUCACGCCCUAUUUCAUCAAAGCCUGCCCAGGAUUGAAUGAUUUCUUCCUGUUAGCAAAGAGUGUCUACAAGGAUGUAUGUCGUAGCACAGACUUCUCCCUGGUGAUCUACUGCAGUAUCUAGAGGAUGUGUGGAGCAUCGCAGAGAGGCUCAGUGAACCGAUCUAGGAUGUUGAUUCUCUUUCCUAAACUACGCAUGUUGGAAAGCACUUUAAUUUGCUGAAACUGCCAGCAUCCUCUUGUUCUAAUUAUGGUAUUGUAUUCAGAAGCUCCCUAGAAGAUUACUUCAGGAAUUGAUGGCAAGAUCUAUAGCUUAUGCCCUCAGCUGAACUUCUCCACACAGCUCUUCCAUCAAUACAGUCAUAGACUGUGCAGCCCGGAAUUAGACUUGGAGGUGAGGAGUGAACACACCCACAUGUAUUGAGCAACGGUUUGAGUGCACUUCUACAGAAGACAGUUGGGCAGCACUUGGUACGGGAGCACAUGAAGAGCCAGAGAACUCCAAGUGAAGUCAGGCUGCUCUCAGUAGCAGUUCUAAGUUUGUUUAAACUGAAACAAAGAAGCUUUUGUGUCCACAUGAAUAAACUACCCAGGAGCUAGAGAUGGCUCCCUGAGAAAGACUAUUAGCUUGCACAGGGCAUUUUACUGUGGCUGAAGACAAUUCUCAAGAAGGGUUAUAGAGGUUGAUACUGACCAGAAACCCUCUUCUCUGAUGACUAGUUUGCCUGGUACCAGAAAGCACCAUAUGAAGGAUGCCACCAAUAGUCUUUUCCAGCUAUGACGCUUAUAAACUACAACAGUGACUAGGAUGACCCAAUAGCCUUAGAGAUGCAAUACUGGGAAACAUAUCUUGAUUGUAGCCAACAGCUCUUUCAUUGGAUUUAUGGCUUGUUAAACAAGAGGGCAAUCAUACCCAGUAUUGGAGACCUAGCCAACUAAUUGCUGCUAGUUAAGUAGUGAGAACUUAAAAUUGUCACUUUACCAACCAGCACAAUUCCUAACUACAUUUAAAAUAUUCAUCCUUAUACCCACAGGUUAGUGUAAUUCUCACCCCUCCUCAAGGAAACUUCUCUUUGCAACAGAUGGAGAUCAUUACAGCAAACUACAACCAAUCAAAAGGCAGAGGUGUGGAACUUUGUCUGAACUGACACAUCUACAACACAUUUUACAUCUCAGAGAUCACCGCAGAAGAGGGCAGAAGGAUUGUAAAUGCCAGAGGAACAGAAAGUUUGCUGUGAGAUUUUUUUCCUAUAAGUGUCAGAGAAGCUGCACCCAUAAAGGCUUACCACAAGGAUGACACCAAAACCAAAAAAAAAAAAAAAAAAAAAAACCAAAACAAAAGAGGGAAACAAAUAAACAACAACAACAAAAACCCACCAAACCAUUGUAUUUUCCCCUAAAUAUUUCAGGCUUGAAAUACUUAAGAAUUUAAACCUAAGAAUGCAAUAUAUAUAUAUACAUAUAUAUAUGUAUAUAAAUUUUAAUUUUAUUUUACAAUGUUUCAGAAGUGCUACGCAUGUUUUGAAUGUUGCUAUCCAGCCAGGCUAUUACUACAUGGCUGAUAGUUGAGAAUUUGAGUAGCAACCGUGAACCAUAGCUCAGAAUCAGUCAUGUAAUCAUAAAAAUAAUCAGUUAAUACUCUAUAGUCUACUAUGUUGUACAUUAUGAUAUUGUCUAGAUUAGGCAUGUGAAAGCAUAACUUGGUUAUGGUAUGGAAAAUUUAUAAUGGAUUUAUUGGGAUGUAACCCAUCAUAAGUCAAAGAAUUUCAAAAUUCCAUCAGCACUUGAAAAAUAAACAUGACAUUGAAUGGAGUGAGUUCAACUAUCACUUUAGAUUCUGUCCAUUGAUGGUGUUGACGAGUUUUUGUUUGUUUGUUUGUUUUUUUCAUGUUGAUCACUUCUCGAGCUUUGAGCUAAGAUCAGGUGUGGCACAUGCUUUCUGACUUUCUGCUAUGCUCUAUCAGCUGUCUGAGGGAUGUUAAUGAGUCUCUCACACCGGAUUUCCACAUUUGCCUAGCUUCAGGUUCAGUUUCUCCCAUUUUUGUAUCAUGUUUUGAUUGUGCACAUACAAUUAGAAUUGCCACAUCUUCUGAUUGCCUGUUCUUCUCUUUACCAUGAAGUCUACAUUAUCUGCUAUUAUGUAGCUGCUCCUUUUCUCCUUGGCUUGUUAGUUCACUCUUUAUAUUCAACUUACAUAAACACAGUAUUCUAUUUCAGAGAGCUUCUUUUAGACAACAAGUAGUUUGAUCAUAUUUAACAAUCAAUUCUGCUAAUAUCUGUCUUUUACCUAGCCCAUGCAGACAAUUUGCAGGUUGGGGUGUGCUUUAUGGCAGUGUUUGCCUAAGGUCUGUGGAGUUUUAUUGUUAGCACUGCAAGACCAUUUGCAUUUGAUAUAAUGAUUGACACAUUAGAAUUUAAAUCUAUUUUGUGUUUUCAUUUGUUUUGUCUUCAUGCUU
Mus musculus (house mouse) is the source of this 3820-nucleotide long non-coding RNA. RefSeq annotates it as predicted gene, 32067. The transcript is spliced from 3 exons. The record is from RefSeq and is a predicted model, not a curated record. Lineage: Eukaryota; Metazoa; Chordata; Mammalia; Rodentia; Muridae.